AACCCAAAUCCUGAUCAAAUCAGGAACUAGUUUUUCUUGUAAUUAGGCUUGAUCUAAUCAAACCCAAUCCAAGUCAAACUGAGUCCAAUUCAAUUAAACCUAAUCUGAACCUUAUUGCUUAAUCAUAUUGAGUUAAUUAGUAAUCUAAUUGCUAAUUAAUCCUCCAUUAAUGGUAGAGUUUCAGUCCAGUGGGUCUCUCCACCAG
RNAcentral lists this long non-coding RNA (205 nucleotides) under Elaeis guineensis (African oil palm). RNAcentral describes it as "long non-coding RNA (EGUI_LNC061024)". The record is from RNAcentral. Lineage: Eukaryota; Viridiplantae; Streptophyta; Magnoliopsida; Arecales; Arecaceae.